AACGGAGAGUUUGAUCCUGGCUCAGGAUGAACGCUGGCGGCGUGCUUAACACAUGCAAGUCGAACGAACCUUCGGGUUAGUGGCGGACGGGUGAGUAACGCGUGGGAAUCUGCCCUCAGGAGGGGGAUAACGGUUGGAAACGACCGCUAAUACCCCAUAUGCCGAGAGGUGAAAUGAAUUUCGCCUGAGGAUGAGCCCGCGUCUGAUUAGCUUGUUGGUGAGGUAAUGGCUCACCAAGGCUUCGAUCAGUAGCUGGUCUGAGAGGAUGAUCAGCCACACUGGGACUGAGACACGGCCCAGACUCCUACGGGAGGCAGCAGUGGGGAAUUUUCCGCAAUGGGCGAAAGCCUGACGGAGCAACGCCGCGUGAGGGACGAAGGCCUCUGGGCUGUAAACCUCUUUUCUCAAGGAAGAAGAUAUGACGGUACUUGAGGAAUAAGCCACGGCUAAUUCCGUGCCAGCAGCCGCGGUAAUACGGGAGUGGCAAGCGUUAUCCGGAAUUAUUGGGCGUAAAGCGUCCGCAGGCGGCCUUUCAAGUCUGCUGUUAAAGCGUGGAGCUUAACUCCAUCAUGGCAGUGGAAACUGAUUGGCUUGAGUAUGGUAGGGGCAGAGGGAAUUCCCGGUGUAGCGGUGAAAUGCGUAGAUAUCGGGAAGAACACCAGUGGCGAAGGCGCUCUGCUGGGCCAUUACUGACGCUCAUGGACGAAAGCCAGGGGAGCGAAAGGGAUUAGAUACCCCUGUAGUCCUGGCCGUAAACGAUGAACACUAGGUGUCGGGGGAAUCGACCCCUUCGGUGUCGUAGCUAACGCGUUAAGUGUUCCGCCUGGGGAGUACGCACGCAAGUGUGAAACUCAAAGGAAUUGACGGGGGCCCGCACAAGCGGUGGAGUAUGUGGUUUAAUUCGAUGCAACGCGAAGAACCUUACCAGGGCUUGACAUCCUGCGAACCUUUAAGAAAUUAGAGGGUGCCUUCGGGAACGCAGUGACAGGUGGUGCAUGGCUGUCGUCAGCUCGUGUCGUGAGAUGUUGGGUUAAGUCCCGCAACGAGCGCAACCCACGUUUUUAGUUGCCAGCAUUUAGUUGGGCACUCUAGAAAGACCGCCGGUGAUAAACCGGAGGAAGGUGUGGAUGACGUCAAGUCAUCAUGCCCCUUACGUCCUGGGCUACACACGUACUACAAUGCUACGGACAAAGGGCAGCAAACUCGCGAGAGCUAGCAAAUCCCAUAAACCGUGGCUCAGUUCAGAUCGUAGGCUGCAACUCGCCUACGUGAAGUAGGAAUCGCUAGUAAUCGCAGGUCAGCAUACUGCGGUGAAUACGUUCCCGGGCCUUGUACACACCGCCCGUCACACCAUGGAAGUUGGCCACGCCCGAAGUCGUUACUUUAACCCUUGUGGAGAAGGACGCCGAAGGUGGGGCUGAUGACUGGGGUGAAGUCGUAACAAGGUAGCCGUACCGGAAGGUGCGGCUGGAUCACCUCCUAA
This 1483-nucleotide ribosomal RNA is filed under the name Prochlorococcus marinus str. MU1403. RNAcentral describes it as "16S ribosomal RNA". It matches the Rfam family "Bacterial small subunit ribosomal RNA". Lineage: Bacteria; Bacillati; Cyanobacteriota; Cyanophyceae; Synechococcales; Prochlorococcaceae. RNAcentral also lists the same sequence under 1 other name. The record is from RNAcentral.